This 525-nucleotide ribosomal RNA is filed under the name uncultured bacterium. RNAcentral describes it as "bacterial SSU rRNA". It matches the Rfam family "Bacterial small subunit ribosomal RNA", at positions 355 to 896 of the family's 1533-position model. The record is from RNAcentral.
UGGGGAAUAUUGGACAAUGGGGGCAACCCUGAUCCAGCAAUUCUGUGUGCACGAUGAAGGUUUUCGGAUUGUAAAGUGCUUUCAGCAGGGAAGAAAAAAAUGACGGUACCUGCAGAAGAAGCGACGGCUAAAUACGUGCCAGCAGCCGCGGUAAUACGUAUGUCGCAGGCGUUAUCCGGAAUUAUUGGGCAUAAAGGGCAUCUAGGCGGCCAGAUAAGUCUGGGGUGAAAACUUGCGGCUCAACCGCAAGCCUGCCCUGGAAACUAUGUGGCUAGAGUACUGGAGAGGUGGACGGAACUGCACGAGUAGAGGUGAAAUUCGUAGAUAUGUGCAGGAAUGCCGAUGAUGAAGAUAGUUCACUGGACGGUAACUGACGCUGAAGUGCGAAAGCUAGGGGAGCAAACAGGAUUAGAUACCCUGGUAGUCCUAGCUGUAAACGAUGAUUACUGGGUGUGGGCAUGAAGAGUGUCCGUGCCGAAGCUAAUGCGAUAAGUAAUCCGCCUGGGGAGUACGGCCGCAAGGCUG